AAAAUAACCCCCACUCCACCACUGACACCAACCGAGCUCUACAUCAUCUCACCACCCAACACCAUCUGCGUCAACUGAACCACCACCUGCACCUACACCACCACCCCCUCAAAACUCUGACUAAGUAGUAGAUCUGAUUAAAAAAACCAACCACCAACAACAGAUCGGAUUAGAAAAAUUAUUGGCAAACUCCAUCAACCACCAACAAAUGCAGUUGCACACGGAGGAAGAAGAAACCACCACGUAAAAAUCGCGAUGUUGCUACUCGUGGUGGCACAACGGUGGUCAAUGUUGCUUCGCAAGAUACUGUGCCGACGCACGCAGUUGCACACCGCCAAUUUGCCAUACUUAAUAAGCAGCAACAGCGACGAUUGAAACGAUCUGUGGAUGGUAUGAGCUAUGGACGGGACGUGGGUGGUGGUGGUGCAAGUGGUGAUAAUGUGGCCGUGGAGGUGAUGGUUAGGCGGCCAUGGCGACGGUUGUUAAUUCGAAUAAAGAGAGAAAAAUAGAGAGGGAGGAAAAGAGGAUAAUGAUGUUAGGGUUUGGAAGGAUGGG
This 555-nucleotide long non-coding RNA is filed under the name Olea europaea (common olive). RNAcentral describes it as "long non-coding RNA (OEUR_LNC010145)". The record is from RNAcentral. Lineage: Eukaryota; Viridiplantae; Streptophyta; Magnoliopsida; Lamiales; Oleaceae.